This 377-nucleotide ribosomal RNA is filed under the name uncultured bacterium. Its description in RNAcentral is "bacterial SSU rRNA". It matches the Rfam family "Bacterial small subunit ribosomal RNA", at positions 523 to 898 of the family's 1533-position model. The record is from RNAcentral.
AUACGUAGGGGGCGAGCGUUGUCCGGAAUGAUUGGGCGUAAAGGGCGCGUAGGCGGCGACAUAAGUCUGAAGUGAAAGUCCCAAAUUCAAGUUAGGAAUUGCUUUGGAAACUAUAUCGCUUGAGUGCAGGAGAGGUCAUCGGAAUUCCCGGUGUAGCGGUGAAAUGCGUAGAGAUCGGGAGGAACACCAGUGGCGAAGGCGGGUGGCUGGACUGUAACUGACGCUGAUGCGCGAAAGUGUGGGGAGCAAACAGGAUUAGAUACCCUGGUAGUCCACACCGUAAACGAUGAAUGCUAGGUGUAGGUGGUAUCGACCCCAUCUGUGCCGUCGCAAACGCAAUAAGCAUUCCGCCUGGGGAGUACGGUCGCAAGAUUAAA